AAUUGAGCAAAACAUCCGUUCAAAGCUCUUCAUUUCCAGACUGAAUCCUCCCUCAGAAAAGUUAGUCUUUCAAAUUUGCUUUCUCUUUCAAAAUAACUAACUGCAAAAGCCAUUUGGCUCCAGCUGUUACAAAAAUAUUUUCUGUUCCACCCACCACCCCCCCAAAAAAAGAAAGAAAAGAAAAAAAAAACGUCAGAAAACACUUCCACACACACACAUGCAGAGACUCAAGCAAUUAUUGUGUAACUCCAGUGACUUUCAUUUACUGUGUGCACCAUCAUGGUUAACAGAUUAUAUUGUUCACUUUGUCAAUAGACUUUAUUUCUAUAACACUUUUCAACCAGAAAUCUAGUUUUAAAAACUGCUCUUUGGUCCUCAUUUGGCUACAAUCGACUUCAUUCAUUCCAAUAGAGGAAACUUAAGGAACUAUGAACUAGUUGUGACAUCUUCAAGACAUUAAGGAAACACACACACAUGUGCAGCACACCCACUUUUUCUUCGGAAAUCUCAGUUUUUGGGGGGUGUGCUCCUAAAAGUCUACCUCCCUUCACUGUAACAAAUCCAGAGUGAAACUGCAGACAUUUCUGCUUGUUGAGCUUCACCCAGCAUGAAGGCAAGUACAUUUUGUUCUCUAAAACAGAGAUUCCUGGUCUAUGUUCGGCAUCUAUUGUGAAGUCCUUUUUGAUCUGUUUCUUGUUUGGAUCUUCUAUUUUCAGAACUUUUCACGUCUCUGCUCUGCGGCUUUGCCAUGGCUUCUUGUUCACUUUGCAACCGGAGGGUUCUGCCUCAGGAUUCACUGUAUGUGGGGAUCUUUUAGCAGCUGGUCAACGUGUGAUCCCUGCACAAAUCUACAGACCAGAAGUCGAGCCAUGGUCGUGUACGCUCAGUUUGGCGGGAACCCCUGCGAUGGGUUGCGGUCUGAAAGCAGGCUUGUGAAACGACUCAGGGUUGCCCUUUAGACGAUGGAUGUGGGGCCGUUUUCGCUGUCGAUCUGGGAAGUGUAUUAGCAAAUCUCUGGUGUGCAACGGAGACCAAGACUGUGAGGGGGAUGGGCUCGAUGAGAAUGGCUGCACCAACCAACAAAAGUUUUCUGCGUGUGAACACACAGUGACCCCUCCUAAUGUUGAUCUAAUUGGUCUUGGGGUUGAUGUGGUCACUGGAAACCAAAGAGGCAGUGUCAUCAACACAAGGAGCUUUGGCGGCCAGUGUCGAACCAUCUUCAGUGGCGUCCACAAGGCUUUCUAUCGACUGCCUCUCAGCACCAUACAAUACAAUUUCUUGGUUAAAGUGCAGAACGACUUCAGUGAUGAGAUGUUCAGCAGUAAGUGGCAUUACGCCAAGGAUGUUGUCAACCGAGAAACGGUGACGGGGACCACGAAAGGAUAUAAAAACUACGACUUUCACGAGACACACGACACCUCUCAGUACCACAGGCUCCUAGUGUUAAAGAACGACAUAGAAGUAGCACAGUUCCAGAGCAACUCUCCACAGUAUAUCCCCAUUGCAGAGGAAUUCUGGAAGGCUUUGGCCAAACUCCCAUCCGUCUAUGACUACACGGCUUACAGGAAGGUUCUGGAGAGGUUCGGAACACACUAUGUGUCUCAGGGAAGCCUGGGGGGCUCCUUGAAAAUCAUUAUGUCCAUCGAUUCGGAAAGUGAAAAAUACCUGGCUGUUGAAUCAAUGAAGUACAAUGAAUGUGAGAAGAAGGUUCGCUUUAUCCUAAUAUUUCCCCUCAUCAUAACAAAGUGUAAAGGGGGGGAAAGAACUGAAGAUUGGGAGAGAUCUUAUUCCUACAACAACGUAGUGGCAAAAGUGGAAACAAAAGGAGGAGACGUCUCCCACUCCGCUGCGGUGCAGAGGAUGCAGCUUGACGACGCAAGCAAGAACUGGGAGAUGUACUCAAACUGGGCGGAUUCUAUCAGAUCCAUUCCAGAAAUCAUAAAACAAAAGCUGCGGCCGCUGUCAGAGCUGGUGAAGGACGUUCAGUGUGCCGGGGUGAAGAAGCUGUACCUGCGCAGAGCCAUCGAACAAUACCGUGCAGAGAGUGACCCCUGCCACUGCCAGCCCUGCAGAAACAAUGGCAUAGUUGUCAUGGAUGGUGACGUGUGCAAAUGCAUCUGCAAGCCUGGCACGUCAGGGGCGGCUUGUGAGCAAGGAAUUGAGGCUGAGGGCCAACGAGGAGUAAUCCACGGCAGUUGGACUUGCUGGUCUGCUUGGUCAGCAUGCUCCAGGGGUCAGAGGUCUCGAAGUCGCCAUUGCCAAAACCCCGCGCCCCAGAACGGAGGACAGCACUGCAUCGGUGAUACGGUUGAGAAGUCUUCCUGUGAUGAAGAAGAUCUGGAAUACCUGAAGACCAUGGAACCUCAGUGCUUUGACAACACUCUGCCACCAAGUCAGAAGUGUGAAACUCCCCCAGCUCUGAUCAAUGGCUUUAUUGUGAAUCCAAAGGAUAUUUACCUUGUGGGGGGUAGAGUUGAAUACAGCUGCAUUGUGGGUUUCCAUCUGCUUGGAAACGGCGUCCUGGAAUGCAAUUCUGACCAAGGCUGGUCUCCAAGCCUUGGCCAGUGCACAGCUUCAUCUUGUAAACUAAAAUUCCUCAAUGAGGAGGUUCUAGCUUCUCCUACGAAAGAGGCUUAUGACAUCGGGGAGGCUGUCACCUUGUCUUGUCCGGAGGGCAGAAUCUUACAGGGAGAAGACCGAGUCCUGUGUGACUCCAGCUUGAAUUUUUCUCCAAAUCCUGCAGAAAUUACAUGCAGCCAAGUCGAAACCCUGCCUUCUCCCGUCACUCCCACAGUGAGCUGUGAGGCAUGGGAGAAGCCCUCCAAAGGCAAAUGUAUUUGCAAAAUCCCUCAUGAAUGCAGUUUGUCUAUGGAUAUUUGUGCCACAUCUCCAGGAAGUGGAAAAUUCAUCCCCAUGACUGUGUGCAAAAUGCAUGCCCUGAAGUGCAAUGGGAAGAAUUUUGAAAUAGCCGAAUACAGCAACUGCGUGUGGCCUCGGCGCAGCGCUCCGGACUGCAGCUCCUGCCACAUGUGGGAGAAAUGUGAUGAAUCAACCAGCAGCUGUCGCUGUAAGGAGCUUGCAGACUGUUUGAACGCUGUCAUAAAGGUGUGCGUCCGCGUUGGUGAGGAUGACACGGCGUCCAUGCAGACCAUGAGUGAGUGUGAAGCAGGAGUUCGACAAUGCAACGGAGAAAAGGUGUCUGUUAUCAGCAUCCGGCCCUGUGCUUCCUGAGGAUUCAGAGAACUGACAACCAUGUUUCCUUUCCUUUGUAAUCCACAUGUACUUUUUUAUUUGAAGGACCUUAACAUGCAUGUAUCCUUAGGAGGCAAUAAAACUCAGCAGGCCUCUCCCUGUUCA
This is a long non-coding RNA of Oryzias javanicus (javanese ricefish), 3357 nucleotides long. Lineage: Eukaryota; Metazoa; Chordata; Actinopteri; Beloniformes; Adrianichthyidae. The record is from Ensembl.